Molecule: non-coding RNA, 226 nt
Organism: Paramuricea clavata
Lineage: Eukaryota; Metazoa; Cnidaria; Anthozoa; Malacalcyonacea; Plexauridae
Source: the annotation of a GenBank genome assembly
GAAGACCCAUAUCUUCGCAAUCACGCAAUUAAUCAAAAAUCGCCACGAGGAAGUUGAGGAGAAUUCUUUUAAGAACAACAGAUAUGAAUUUCAUGGAAAAAAAAACAAAAAACCGCUUGCAGAAAAGCUCUGAAGUAACCCCAUAUGUUUGUUUACAAAUUUCAUGUGAUGAAGCGUUUUGCGCAUUCUGAUUGGCUUAGGGCAAAAAUGUAAACAAAAGCGCUGA